UACGGAGGGGGCUAGCGUUAAUCGGAAUUACUGGGCGUAAAGCGUGCGCAGGCGGUUUUGUAAGUCUGUCGUGAAAUCCCCGGGCUCAACCUGGGAAUUGCGAUGGAGACUGCAAGGCUAGAAUCUGGCAGAGGGGGGUAGAAUUCCACGUGUAGCAGUGAAAUGCGUAGAGAUGUGGAGGAACACCGAUGGCGAAGGCAGCCCCCUGGGUCAAGAUUGACGCUCAUGCACGAAAGCGUGGGGAGCGAACAGG
Molecule: ribosomal RNA, 253 nt
Filed under: uncultured bacterium
Lineage: Bacteria
Description: partial 16S ribosomal RNA
Rfam family: Bacterial small subunit ribosomal RNA
Source: RNAcentral